ACGCUGGCGGCGUGCCUAACACAUGCAAGUCGAACGGAGUGAAGCGCUGAAUUGAUUUUAGCUUGCUAAGGAUUUCUUGUUUCACUUAGGUGGCGGACGGGUGAGUAACGCGUGGGUAACCUGCCUCAUACAGGGGGAUAACAGUUAGAAAUGACUGCUAAUACCGCAUAAGCGCACAGUACCGCAUGGUACGGUGUGAAAAACUCCGGUGGUAUGAGAUGGACCCGCGUCUGAUUAGCUAGUUGGUGAGGUAACGGCUCACCAAGGCGACGAUCAGUAGCCGACUUGAGAGAGUGAUCGGCCACAUUGGGACUGAGACACGGCCCAAACUCCUACGGGAGGCAGCAGUGGGGAAUAUUGCACAAUGGGGGAAACCCUGAUGCAGCAACGCCGCGUGAGUGAAGAAGUAUUUCGGUAUGUAAAGCUCUAUCAGCAGGGAAGAAAAUGACGGUACCUGACUAAGAAGCCCCGGCUAACUACGUG
RNAcentral lists this ribosomal RNA (483 nucleotides) under uncultured bacterium. RNAcentral describes it as "bacterial SSU rRNA". It matches the Rfam family "Bacterial small subunit ribosomal RNA", at positions 33 to 507 of the family's 1533-position model. The record is from RNAcentral.